RNAcentral lists this transfer RNA (70 nucleotides) under Scolopendra dehaani. RNAcentral's name for it is "tRNA-Ile". Lineage: Eukaryota; Metazoa; Arthropoda; Chilopoda; Scolopendromorpha; Scolopendridae. The record is from RNAcentral.
AUUGAAGAUGCCUGAUUAAAGGACUACUUUGAUGAAGUAGAACAAGAAAAUUAAUCUAAUCCUAAAAAUU